UUCCCUAGGGGGAAGAGGGGAAGAUAAUUCAUAUGGAGCAUCACACCAGCUAUCUCCUGCUCCCUGUCCUGCACUGCAAAGGAGGCCUUUUCAUCCUCUCUACUGCCUCCAAUUUUUCUCACGAGGAAUGUGAGAGGAAAACCUCACAUAUCCUUCCUGCCAUCACGUGAAGAAGGACACGUUUCGUUCCCCUCCUUCCAUGAUUGUGAGGUGUCAGAUCCCCGGCGAUGGAAAGCAGUCAACUCAUGGGUAGUAAAAAGAAUGUAUUGACAACACUAUAGGUUUGAAAAGGAAAGUUUUAUUAGAUGGAAAGAACAGUGCAGAAGACCGCAGCAGAGGACCUCAGCAAGAGAGAACUAAAAAUGGUCAAUUACAAAGCACAACAUAAGACUGGAACAUUGGAGUUAAGUAGCAGAGAUCAAAAGAGGAGAUUGCAGAUGGAGGUGUUGUAUGUGACUGUUUUACAUGGAUUCUUCGCUCUGGUAGCAGAUGUUGAAGAAGCUCUAUGAAUGUCCUGUCUCUAUGUCCCAGUUUGUCAGUUUCAAAUACUCAUGUAUCUGAUUGUCAAUGCUGGAGAGCUGGGGCCAGGGCAGUAGUUGAUGAAUAUCACCUGACUGUCUCCUGCAGAAAAAGCAUUCCCAGAAGCACGGAGAAGUGAGGAGAAAAGGCAAUGCACCUGGAGCUGGAGACCAAGGCCCUGUUCUUACUGAUGGCCCUUGGAGCAGAUAUUUGAAUUGGAGAGAUAAAACCGUGGUUUUUGGGGUGUUAAUUUUGGUGGCUGAUGCAUUCUGUGAUUGAUUUGGCUAUUACAACUGGUAUUGAUUUUAAACACAUUAAUUGCAAAAUCUCAAUUGUGAUUUGAUUUCUGUAUUUACAAUACUAAAAACGAGGCUUUCGCCAGGAGAAGACAAUUGGCAGUACUCAGUUGGAAGUGCUUAAUUGUUAAUAUAUAUCAGCCGUGGUUCUUCAGCGUCGUCAGUGUUGCUCAGUCUUGCUCUUUGUGGCGACUACUGAAUGCUUGAAAAAUUCUCUCCUAUACUCCCACUCUGCACUGUAGAAGAGAAAGAGAGGAGAGUGGAAGAAAAAAGAGAGGGAGAGGAGAAAGAAAGAGAGGAGAGAGAAACAUGGGCAUGGAUGAUACAUAAGGUAGUUGUAAACUGUGAUCAGCUUUGAUAAUAACUAGAUAAAUUCUUUUAAUACAAAAAUAUAUAAGGCAUUUUGCCUUUUUUUCAAAUUUCAAAUAAAUGGAUUUGUAUAGAAUGUAGUCUGUUGCCCAGAGUUUUCAUUUAGCAUAAUGCAUUUGAGAUUUAUCCAUGUUGUUGUAUAUUCUUUUUAUUGCUGAGUAGUAUUCCAUUGUGUGGAUAUACCAGUUUGUUUAUCCAUUAACCUUUGAUGGAUAUUUGGGUUUUUUUCAAUAUGAGGCUCUUAUAAAUAAACCUUCUGUAAUCAGGUCUUUGUGUAGUCACACAGUUUGUUUGUUUGUUUGUUUUUUAAAAAGAUGUUAGUAUUGUAAUUGUGUUUAAUAAGAAACUGUUCAGUAUUUCUGCAUGUCUACCAAAAAUACAUGAAAUGUUAG
This 1576-nucleotide long non-coding RNA is filed under the name Homo sapiens (human). RNAcentral describes it as "HSALNT0408967". The record is from RNAcentral. Lineage: Eukaryota; Metazoa; Chordata; Mammalia; Primates; Hominidae.